Arabis alpina (gray rockcress) is the source of this 62-nucleotide non-coding RNA. NCBI's taxonomy places the organism in Eukaryota, Viridiplantae, Streptophyta, Magnoliopsida, Brassicales, Brassicaceae. The record is from Rfam.
AUCCCAUGGUGAGGACAGCUUCUGGUGUAUCUUUUUAGAUGUUCCCAAGCUUCACUGAGGGU